Monodelphis domestica (gray short-tailed opossum) is the source of this 5124-nucleotide long non-coding RNA. RefSeq lists it as uncharacterized. Lineage: Eukaryota; Metazoa; Chordata; Mammalia; Didelphimorphia; Didelphidae. The record is from RefSeq and is a predicted model, not a curated record.
ACUGGCACAGAAAUUUCUGGAACUCCUUACUCCAACAUUCUGUCCUGUUGAAGAAUAAUCAUCGAAAAUAUCUUACCUAUUUCUUAAAUAUCUGCAAAGAUAAAAGAUUCUUCAGUUUUAAGACAAAUAUCAACUUUUUUUUUGCUCCAUUCAGAGGAAUAUUGCUUUGCAUAAUUGAUGCCACCAUUUAUACUGGUACCAAAUUCUCAAUAUUGCAACCACAAGUAAAACUAUCAAUAGUUGGGCAGGCAGCAACCAAAUAUAGCAAAUAUUCUUCCUUCAUGUGAAUGCUUAUUGGCAAGAGCCAAGACCAGAGGAAGACAUCAAGAUAUUACUCUAAUACUAUGCAGCAGUUAAACAAAGAAGCUCUUUAAAAAGAGAGGAAUGGACACUGAUCCUUCACUCUAAUUCAUCUAAUAAACAUUAAAAGUAAAGGCAGUGGGGCAGCUGGGUGGCUCAGUGAAUUGAGAGCCAGGCCUAGAAAUGAGAGGUCCUGGGUUCAAAUCUGUUAUCAGAUACUUCCUAGCUGUGUGUUCCUAGGCAAGUCAUUUGACCCCCAUUACCUUGCCCUUACCACUCUUCUGCUUUGAACCAAUACAUAGUAUUGGUUCUAAGACAGAAGGUAAGGACUUAAAAGGGUAAAAAAAAAAAGCAAAGGCAGCUUUUUAAGCCUUUCCAUCUAUUAUAAGUCAUAUAAAUACUAUAUACAGAUAAAAGGACUAAGAUUUAGUCUGUUGUUUUCAUGUUGAUCAUUUUUGUGCUUUUAUCAUAUGCUUCAUGGUUGCUACAAAAUCAAUCUUCUUCCAAGUGGUAAUAUGUUAUUUUCCUUUCCUAUCCUAGGAAAAAGGAAAGAAGUACCCACUCUCACAAUGGACAUAUUGUAGACUCAUAAGUGUGUGGGGGGAAGCAAAACCUCAACAAUCAGAUUAAGACUUCAGAUGUGAGCCCACAUUCACACCUUUGUCACUAAGUUCAAGAUGCAAUUGUAGAUGCCAUGCAACAUGAAGGUUUAUUAAAUUUGUUUCACAAACAUAAGAUUGUUUCAAAUACCUUUAGUUCAAUUUAGGUCAGGAAGCCUAGCUGAUAUUACAGGAAAUGAACCUUAGAACAAUGUUUCUCAGUUACUAUGUGCCAGGUUUGUUUUAUGUCCCCUUCUUGUAUCAUUGCAGAUUCUCAUUUGAUGGCAUGAUCUUACUAUGUGCUGGUUUAUAUAUGUUCUCCCAUCCAGAGGUUAUUGGUUGACUACAUAGUCAAAUCCAAUCAUCUCAUUGUUAUCAUAAAAAUUUAUUGAACAUCCAUAGGAAUAAAUGGAGCUAUACUAAAUGCAAUAAGAGUUUAGAACAAGUAGAGACAUUGUACGUGUUUUCAAGGAGACAGUCAAUUGGGAAGAGUAAAAGCAAAUUCAUUUGCAUGUAAGAAAUUAGUCCUCAUACAUAUAAACUACUGUAGUUGGAAAUCUUGGUGCUUGACACUUGAAGACUUCCUGGGAAAAAAAGAAACUAACAUGAAGUCUUAUCCUUUAUCAGUUUUUAAAAUGUGUAGAAGAGAACUCAGAGAAGUUCAAAAGGAAGUACGAAAAAGCAGGGCAGUUUUGAAAGUAAUGUGUAGGAUUUGUGGUAGUCUUUUUUUUUUUUGUUAGAGCAAGAGGUAUAAAAUGGAAAUUCACAAUUUUAUAUAGAAUUCCAUUUUUUCUUUCUGCUGUGUGCAUGAAAAUGUGCAUUUCGUUACUAAGAUUUUUGAAAAAUGAAAAACCACUAGUCUUAAAGAACAAUUGCAUGAUGGCAAAUGGGAGGUAGCUAAUAACUUGAUAGCUUCAAUAACGUAAUAAAAUCUAGGGAAAUCUAUGCAUAGGGAUGGCAAGUUCAUUUUCUUAGGAACAACAGAGCAGGAAGAAGUGUAUCAGAAGAUGAGAAUUAUUUGAUUUCCAAAGGUUAGCUAAUAGAUGAAUUUUCAUCAGAAAAUAGAAUUUAAUCCAGAACAGGGCUCCUUAACCUGGUGUCCAUGAACUUUAAAAAAUAUUUUUAUAUUUCAUUAUAAUUCAUUUCUUUUAUUAUCCUAUAUAUCCUUUAUCUCACCACUUGUGUUUUACAGUGAUUGGAAGUGCUGGACAUGGAGUUGGGAUGACUUGUUUUCAAAUGCUGCAUCAGACUCCUAUUAGCUGUAUGAUCUUAGAGUGAAGAAUCAGAAGAAAUAUUCUCAAAUAGAUAGCUUCAACGAAGGUGGGUAAAGAGUCAUACUUCAAGGACAAAAUAACCAACUUCAUUCAGGUAAACAUGGCGGCAGUCUAGACACAAGACUCAUCCUCUCCUCAGCACCCACCGAUAUAGACUGCCUCAAAAGACCAAGAAAACCAAAUUCAUAAGAACAAAGGAACUCUACAGUUGGGUGCAGCAUUGAAGGUACAUGGGAUUUGGGUAUUUCCACACUUAUAAGGGGGUGAAAAAGCUCCCACCAAAACUGCAAGCUGAUCUACUUUCCCCUACCCCACCUACGGAGCCAGUGUCAGAGCCAGCGUGUGCCAGAAUCAGUGAGCGAGGAGCACCUCUAGAGUGAGUAAGGUGCACCUCUAGGUCCUUGGGAGCUGACUAAGACCACCAAAGACCUACCCCUAAGAGCAGCUACACCUGAAAUCCCAGCAGGCUGAAGAGUGCGGACCAUGGGUGCUUGUGGGAAAAUAGCACAGAGAAGGGCAGCAAACAGCAGAAGCUGCAGAGAUUUGAGAGCUUGCCUCAGGCAAAAUCCUUGCUCCUUAGCUCCAUACACAGAGAGCCUGCCCAUCUCACUCAGAUUUCUGACUAAAAAGGGAAGGAAAAACCUCCACAGUGAUGGCAAAUUGUACCCAGGAGCAACAACCUCCCUCCAAGAAAAACAGGAAGAAGGGGUUGACCUUGGAAAAUUUUUGUGGAGGAAAAACCCAGGCUACCGCAGAAAUACAGGACAAAAUUCAAAUAAACUCAAAACCUUCCCAAAAAAAUGGAAAUUGUCCCCAAGCUCUCAAAGAAUUUAAAUAGAAGCUUAUAAAAAAAGAUGGAAGCCUUCUGGCAAGAAAAGUAGGAAAUAGUUCAAAGAGAAAAUAACAAUUUAAAGGACAAGAACUCCCAAUUGGAGAAAUAGCUGGAAGCCACGAAAAGCAGGAUAGACCAAACUGAAAAGGAAAAUCAAAAGAUUAUAGCAGAAAAUCAGUCCUUAAAGACCAGAAUUAGGCAACUGGAAGACAAUUAUCUUGCAAAACAGCAAGAAUUAAUAAAGCAAAGUCAAAAGACUGACAACAUAGAAGAAAGCAUAAAAUAUCUCACUGACAAGAUGACAGAUCAGGAAAAAAGAUCACGAUGAGACAAUUUGAGAAUCAUUGGUCCACCUGAAAAGCCAGAAAUCUUGACAUCAAACUACAAGAAAUCAUCCAAGAAAACUGCCCUGAUAUUCUUGAACAAGGGGGCAAAAUAGACAUUGAAAGAGUUCAUAGAAUACCCUCUACACUAAAUGCUCAAAAGACAACUCCCAGGAAUAUAAUUGCCAAAUUCAAGAGCUUUAAAGCUAAGGAGAAAAAUCUACAAGAAGCUAAAAAGAGACAGUUUAGAUACCAAGGAGCACCAAUCAGGAUCACACAAGACCUGGCAACUUCCAUACUAAAGGACUGCAAGGCUUGGAACAUGAUAUUCAGAAAGGCAAGAGAACUUGGUCUUCAACCAAGAAUCACCUAUCCAUCAAAACUGACUAUAUACUUCCAGGGAAAAGUAUGGGCAUUUAACAAAAUAGAAGAUUUCCAAGUAUUUGUAAAGAAAAGACCAGAACUAAGUGGAAAGUUUGAUAUCCAAACACAAAGAUCAAGAGAAACAUGAAAAGAGAAGACCAAUGACAUUACAGCAUAAUGGUUUGACUUGCAAGAGAAUGGAUUAAAGUGAGGUAGAGUUGCAUGAAGUCAUCAGUCCUCACUUUCCCUUCCAGAGCCACGGAAAUCUAGUGGUAAAAAUGGAAGUCAAGAUGAAUGACAAGGGAUUCAAUCUUGGUAUCUUCAAUAUCUGACAGCACCUGCUUCAGCCUCCUUCAUCGCAGUUGGAACUUCAGAGAGCAACACCAUUCUCCCAGACCCUGAGCCUAGCAACCUAGGAAUCCUAUGUUCCUCAUGGUCUCCACCCCAUUCCUCCAAAGUCCAGGCCUUUGCUAAAACCUGUCCCUUUCACCUUUGAAGCAUCUCAUGAUUAUGCCCCUUUCUCUCCUCUGAUGCUGCUCUCACUCUAGUACAGGCUUUCAUGCCUCAUGCCUGGACUGACACCAAAUGGAAAAUGGUAAGACCUUCCUAACUCCAGUCUUUCCCCAGUCCAGUUUACCCUCCAUUCAGUCAUUGACAAGAUAUAACUAAAGUGCUGAUCUGAUUAUACUUAUCCCCAACUCAAUAAAUUCCAAUGGUUUCCUAUUGCCUCCAGGACAAAAUAUGACAUGCUCUGUUUGGCAUUCAAAGCCCUUCAUAACCCAUUCCCCUCCUGCCUUCUCAGCUUUCUUGUACCUUACUCCUAAUAUAUACUCUUUGAUCCAAUGGCUGGCUUCCUGACUCUUCCAUGCAUAAGACAUUCCAUUCCUUAGCUCUGGGCAUUUUCUCUGUCCCUCAUGCCAGGAAUGCUGUCCCCUUUCUGGCUUUCUUUCAGUCCCAGCUAAAAUUUUGCCUAGUGUAGGAAGCCCUCCCUAACUCCUCUUAAUUCCUAUGCCUUCCUGUUAAUUAUUUCCUCUUUCUCUUGUAUAGAACUUUCUUUGUGCAUUUUUGUUUGUAUGUUGUAUCCCCAAUUUGAUUGUAAGCUUUUUAAAGGCAGGGACUGGCUUUUGACUUUUUUUGUGUGUUCCCAGUGCUUAGCACAGUGCCUGGCAAAUAGUAGGCACUUAAUAAAUGUUUAUUGAUAAUCUCAGACAGGACAAAGCAAGAGAUAAGCAAGAAAGGUACAUUUUGCUGAAAGCUGCCCUACACCCAAGAUGGUGAACCUAUGGUACCUGUGCCAAAAAGGAUACACAGAGCACUCUCUAUUGUCACACAUGCCACCCCUCCACCAGAGUUCAUUACUAGAAAGGAAGAGGGACUCUGGGCAGAACUGCUCCUUUUCCCCUGUCCACAAUAUCUGAUGACAUUUUUUCAUA